AAAAUAUAAUAAUUACCACGUAGUUUUACGACCACAUCAUAACAAUAUUUUUCAUUUAUGUAAAUAAUCGGUGAUAAAUAUCAAAUAAAUUACGAAUAAUAAAAAUUGCACAGUCAUGAUGAAAAUCGAUCCACAUGGUUAUCGAAAACGGAAGCAAUCGCACUAAAUUGCCAGUGCCGUUUUUAUAUUAACACAAUAUAUGUAACUAGUGCUUGAAUUGAGUGCCUCUUCUUCGUAGCAGUACCCUCGAGCCGAUUUCACGACUUUAUCGAUGUUGAUAUUCCUGAAAAGCACGCAUAUAUGUACAAUAUAGUUUGUGGUAAUUUUACCGCGCUUUUCUAAUUCGAGAUCUCGUUUCACCGCCAUUGUGAUAAACACGCGUAGUUGUGAUAAAACGAGAUGACAAUGAAAUUAAUGGCGUUAAUAAUCGAAAAGUGUAUUGUAAUUGUGCUGUUACUACUACAAAUACUGGGUCUUUUAAAUUUGGAAGAAUUAACCCAUUAACUGAGUACUCUUGGGACACGCUUGGCUGAACGUUAAUGCAGCAUUCUAUUUUAUACGAACCUGCAAACUGCACAAUGGUCUCUCGUCGGUUAACACAUCAGUGGACGGAACAUGGCGCCGAAAAUGGAGCAAUUCAACAGCAUUCCUACAAUAUUUGCAACGAGAACGUCUAAAUUAAAAGACUUCUCUAUUAUACAUACGUGGAAUUUUUCUUUUUGCUUCUUUGGCAUCAUAAAAGGAAGAGGUUUUAUAUCAUAAUCUUGAAUUGAAACCUUUAUAUUUCAACCUUUAAAAAAUAAAUGAACGUGUUAAGACGAAGGAUUUAUUAAAAAUGGGUAUCGUUACCUGCUUGGAAGAGUAACGCACCCCUCCAACCGAAUCGUUUGACCAGCACGUCUGAGAUAGGCGCGAGCAGAAAGGCGCCGAUUCCGGAUCCGCAGACCGCGAUCCCGGUGGCCAGUGCUCGCCAUCUUUCAAAAUAAAAUCCGGUAGUUAUCACAGCCGGCACGUAAAUCAGGCCUGCCCCGAUACCUCCUGACAAUGCAAGAUACAAAGACCACGUGAAAGUAAUAAGUGAUAAAGCACGGAAUUUUCUUCUUUUUUUUUUUUUUAUUUCUUUUUCCCCCACUAUUCGACUUGAGACUCGUUUCGUGUACGAUUCAAAAUGAUAGACGAAGCUCUAUCUUUUAAAUUGCUUAUUAAUUUAAUAAAUAAAUAUCACGUUUUUUUUUUGUAUCAAUUUUUAUGUUUGUUUGAACUUCUACUACUUUUAUUACUAAUCGAUUCUUUCAAAAUGUCCAAUAUGUUAAUUAUCUUUUUUACGUGGUAGAGGAUUUUAUUUAAUCUCUCGAUAUAUGGUAAUUUUCGAGAUCGCGUGAUUUCGUCGAUAAUUGUACGAGAGGGAGUUCAUUCAAUUCCCAAGCUUUAAUAAUUUAAACGUUAAUUGUUAAAUAUAAUUUAUAUCAUUUAGAGUA
Molecule: long non-coding RNA, 1478 nt
Organism: Apis florea (little honeybee)
Lineage: Eukaryota; Metazoa; Arthropoda; Insecta; Hymenoptera; Apidae
Gene: LBR
Source: RefSeq, a predicted model, not a curated record